RNAcentral lists this ribosomal RNA (505 nucleotides) under uncultured bacterium. RNAcentral describes it as "partial 16S ribosomal RNA". It matches the Rfam family "Bacterial small subunit ribosomal RNA", at positions 28 to 507 of the family's 1533-position model. The record is from RNAcentral.
GACGAACGCUGGCGGCGUGCCUAAUACAUGCAAGUAGAACGCACAGUUUAUACCGUAGCUUGCUCCACCAUAGACUGUGAGUUGCGAACGGGUGAGUAACGCGUAGGUAACCUGCCUGGUAGCGGGGGAUAACUAUUGGAAACGAUAGCUAAUACCGCAUAAUAUUAAUUAUUGCAUGAUAAUUAAUUGAAAGGUGCAAUUGCACCACUACCAGAUGGACCUGCGUUGUAUUAGCUAGUAGGUGAGGUAACGGCUCACCUAGGCGACGAUACAUAGCCGACCUGAGAGGGUGGUCGGCCACACUGGGACUGAGACACGGCCCAGACUCCUACGGGAGGCAGCAGUAGGGAAUCUUCGGCAAUGGACGAAAGUCUGACCGAGCAACGCCGCGUGAGUGAAGAAGGUUGUCGGAUCGGAAAGCUCUGUUGUAAGAGAAGAACGGGUGUGAGAGUGGAAAGUUCACACUGUGACGGUAUCUGACCAGAAAGGGACGGCUAACUACGUG